UACGUAGGGGGCUAGCGUUGUUCGGAAUUACUGGGCGUAAAGCGCGCGCAGGCGGUCUUCCAAGUCAGUGGUGAAAGCCCGGAGCUCAACUCCGGAACUGCCAUUGAAACUGUUGGACUUGAGUAUGAGAGAGGUGAGUGGAAUUCCCAGUGUAGUGGUGAAAUACGUAGAGAUUGGGAAGAACACCAGUGGCGAAGGCGGCUAUCUGGACGGUUUCUGACACUAAGACUCGAAAGCGUGGGGAGCAAACAGG
RNAcentral lists this ribosomal RNA (253 nucleotides) under uncultured bacterium. Its description in RNAcentral is "partial 16S ribosomal RNA". It matches the Rfam family "Bacterial small subunit ribosomal RNA", at positions 524 to 776 of the family's 1533-position model. The record is from RNAcentral.